GAUGAACGCUGGCGGCGUGCCUAAUACAUGCAAGUCGAACGCUGGAAAUCUAGCUUGCUAGCUUGAAGGAGUGGCGAACGGGUGAGUAAUACAUAAGCAACCUACCCACGAAGACUGGGAUAAUCUCUGGAAACGGGGACUAAUACCGGAUAGGUAAUCGGAAGGCAUCGUCUGAUUAUUAAAGGUUAAAAACACUGGUGGAUGGGCUUAUGGCGCAUUAGUUAGUUGGUGAGGUAACGGCCCACCAAGACGAUGAUGCGUAGCCGGCCUGAGAGGGUGAACGGCCACAUUGGGACUGAGACACGGCCCAGACUCCUACGGGAGGCAGCAGUAGGGAAUUUUCGGCAAUGGGGGAAACCCUGACCGAGCAACGCCGCGUGAGUGAGGACGGCCUUCGGGUUGUAAAGCUCUGUUGUAAGGGAAGAACGGUAGAUAGAGAAUAUCUAAAUGACGGUACCUUACCAGAAAGCCACGGCUAACUACGUG
This 486-nucleotide ribosomal RNA is filed under the name uncultured bacterium. RNAcentral describes it as "partial 16S ribosomal RNA". It matches the Rfam family "Bacterial small subunit ribosomal RNA", at positions 28 to 507 of the family's 1533-position model. The record is from RNAcentral.